CCUACGGGAGGCAGCAGUGGGGAAUAUUGCACAAUGGGGGAAACCCUGAUGCAGCGACGCCGCGUGAGUGAAGAAGUAUUUCGGUAUGUAAAGCUCUAUCAGCAGGGAAGAAAAUGACGGUACCUGAUUAAGAAGCCCCGGCUAACUACGUGCCAGCAGCCGCGGUAAUACGUAGGGGGCAAGCGUUAUCCGGAUUUACUGGGUGUAAAGGGGGCGUAGACGGCAGCACAAGUCUGGAGUGAAAUGCCGGGGCUUAACCCCGGAACUGCUUUGGAAACUGUGCAGCUAGAGUGCAGGAGGGGUAAGUGGAAUUCCUGGUGUAGCGGUGAAAUGCGUAGAUAUUAGGAGGAACACCAGUGGCGAAGGCGGCUUACUGGACUGUAACUGACGUUGAGGCUCGAAAGCGUGGGGAGCAAACAGGAUUAGAUACCCGUGUAGUC
This 440-nucleotide ribosomal RNA is filed under the name uncultured bacterium. RNAcentral's name for it is "partial 16S ribosomal RNA". It matches the Rfam family "Bacterial small subunit ribosomal RNA", at positions 338 to 795 of the family's 1533-position model. The record is from RNAcentral.